Planococcus citri (citrus mealybug) is the source of this 504-nucleotide long non-coding RNA. RefSeq lists it as uncharacterized. The record is from RefSeq and is a predicted model, not a curated record. NCBI's taxonomy places the organism in Eukaryota, Metazoa, Arthropoda, Insecta, Hemiptera, Pseudococcidae. The transcript has 4 exons.
GAUUUGGACAGCUACGAGACAACGUCAGGGCACCAUCAAGACAGCGCAACUUCUCGUUUUAAAUCCUUAUGUUAUGAAAAGGUUUUUUCAUACAUAACUUCCGCGGUGCAUCUGUACACGAAUCCUCAACGCUUCAGGAUUCUAAAAAUACUUUUUCAUAGCGCACUGGACUAUCGGUUCCUCCGCAAUGAACGCAGGAAAUGGGUGAUCGACGCAAUGGCGGUAACUUUACGAUCCUUUCAAGAAGAAUCGCUUGAACCAGAGCUAAUUAAUGCCAUUAGCCAGCUUUCGUGUGCUGAUACAUUGCACCUUGUGACCUUGCUGAGUGAGCACCCGAAUGCUGUGCUGGCAAUAUGUCGUCAUCGCCUCCUGAUGCUGUCCGGCCGUACUGAUGAAACUGGAGAGGACAUUAUGCAAGUGCUGAAAGCUUUUCGCAAAGAUUUGCGGAAUGCACCUACGGCCAUUGCGUAUCUCGAAAUGAUGGUGAGGGCAAAGAAAGCUAUU